Oncorhynchus mykiss (rainbow trout) is the source of this 299-nucleotide unclassified non-coding RNA. It matches the Rfam family "Metazoan signal recognition particle RNA". From Rfam's summary of the family: The signal recognition particle (SRP) is a universally conserved ribonucleoprotein. It is involved in the co-translational targeting of proteins to membranes. The record is from Ensembl. Lineage: Eukaryota; Metazoa; Chordata; Actinopteri; Salmoniformes; Salmonidae.
GCCGGGUGCGGUGGCAUGUGCCUGUAAUCCAAGUCACUGGGAGGCUGAGGUUGGUGGAUCAAGUGAGCUGAGGAGCUCUGGGCUGCAGCACGCUAUGUCGAACGGGUGUCCACGCCAAGUUCGGUAUCGAUAUGGUGUUCCUGGGGGAGCCCGGGACCACCAGGUUGUCUAAGGAGGGGUGAACCGGCCCAGGUCGGAAACGAAGCAGGUCAAAACCCCCGUGCUGUCCAGUAGUGGGAUAAUACCUGUGAGUAGAUGCUGCAGUGCAGCCUUGGCAAAACAUCGAGACCUAAUCUUUC